ACUCAACAUGGCUGUCCAACCUGCCAGCAGUGCCCAGUGGAAGUGGGAAGGCGUGGAGUCUGAGUCGCCCCUGCCAACUGCCUGCUGGUUCUCCUCAUUAAAAGAGGGCAAAAGACAGCACAGUGAAACGGAACAAGGGAAGAUGCAGAAGGAUAUAGUUCUCAGAUAUCAAGCCCGAUAUGGAAAAGGACACCAAUGCAAUGUUGUUUACCUCAGUCGAGAGCUGCUAAGAAUCUCAAGGAACUGAUGGAUUUCUCUUUAAGGAUCAGCUGAGGAGAGUGGGCAUGUUCAGUUUAAAGAAAGAGAUGUUUGGAGGACUUGUUGCAGUGCUUGGACAUAGGUUACAGAACAGAAGGAUGGCUGCAAUUUUGUUUUGUCUUGGCUUGAGCAGAGAGCAAAAGACAGCACAGUGAAA
Molecule: long non-coding RNA, 415 nt
Organism: Passer domesticus (house sparrow)
Lineage: Eukaryota; Metazoa; Chordata; Aves; Passeriformes; Passeridae
Exons: 3
Source: RefSeq, a predicted model, not a curated record